Molecule: long non-coding RNA, 267 nt
Organism: Austrofundulus limnaeus
Lineage: Eukaryota; Metazoa; Chordata; Actinopteri; Cyprinodontiformes; Rivulidae
Exons: 2
Source: RefSeq, a predicted model, not a curated record
CCGACUUACACCAACCUGGAUGUGAGAAUAUGGCCAGUACACCUGACAGUAAUGAAAAGGAGCACAUSGAACCGCAGGCCGGACCAGCUGAUGUGUCAGCCCCCCUGCCAUCUCCCACGCACACAAGUGGUAUCAGAUGCCAUUCUGAAAAACCAAGAAAGCAUUUUAAAAUGUCUGGAAAAUAUGUCUGGCACUUUGGAAAAAAUAUCUGAUAGUCUGGCACGCAUAGCUGAUGGGCUGACCAAAUCUCAAAAUAAAAUGUGAAUU